This 733-nucleotide ribosomal RNA is filed under the name uncultured Staphylococcus sp. RNAcentral's name for it is "bacterial SSU rRNA". It matches the Rfam family "Bacterial small subunit ribosomal RNA", at positions 65 to 780 of the family's 1533-position model. The record is from RNAcentral. Lineage: Bacteria; Bacillati; Bacillota; Bacilli; Caryophanales; Staphylococcaceae.
AGCGAACAGACGAGGAGCUUGCUCCUCUGACGUUAGCGGCGGACGGGUGAGUAACACGUGGAUAACCUACCUAUAAGACUGGGAUAACUUCGGGAAACCGGAGCUAAUACCGGAUAAUAUAUUGAACCGCAUGGUUCAAUAGUGAAAGACGGUUUUGCUGUCACUUAUAGAUGGAUCCGCGCCGCAUUAGCUAGUUGGUAAGGUAACGGCUUACCAAGGCAACGAUGCGUAGCCGACCUGAGAGGGUGAUCGGCCACACUGGAACUGAGACACGGUCCAGACUCCUACGGGAGGCAGCAGUAGGGAAUCUUCCGCAAUGGGCGAAAGCUUGACGGAGCAACGCCGCGUGAGUGAUGAAGGUCUUCGGAUCGUAAAACUCUGUUAUUAGGGAAGAACAAAUGUGUAAGUAACUAUGCACGUCUUGACGGUACCUAAUCAGAAAGCCACGGCUAACUACGUGCCAGCAGCCGCGGUAAUACGUAGGUGGCAAGCGUUAUCCGGAAUUAUUGGGCGUAAAGCGCGCGUAGGCGGUUUUUUAAGUCUGAUGUGAAAGCCCACGGCUCAACCGUGGAGGGUCAUUGGAAACUGGAAAACUUGAGUGCAGAAGAGGAAAGUGGAAUUCCAUGUGUAGCGGUGAAAUGCGCAGAGAUAUGGAGGAACACCAGUGGCGAAGGCGACUUUCUGGUCUGUAACUGACGCUGGUGUGCGAAAGCGUGGGGAUCAAACAGGAUUA